CCAAUAGCGUAUAUUAAAGUUGUUGCAGUUAAAAAGCUCGUAGUUGAAUUUCGGGAUUUGUCAGUUGGUCGGGCUUAACUGUCCGUAUUGACUUGAUGGAUUCUUACCUUCUGAAUAACCAGCAUGCUAUUAAGUUAGUGCGUUGGGGAAGCAGAUCUAUUACCUUGAAAAAAUUAGAGUGCUUAAAGCGAGCUAGUGCUUGAAUAGAUUAGCAUGGAAUAAUAAAAUAGGACGGCAUGGUUCUAUUUUGUUGGUCUCUAGGAUCACCGUAAUGAUUAAUAGGGAUAGUUGGGGGCAUUAGUAUUCAAUUGUCAGAGGUGAAAUUCUUGGAUUUAUUGAAGACUAACUUCUGCGAAAGCAUUUGCCAAGGAUGUUUUCAUUAAUCAAGAACGAAAGUUAGGGGAUCGAAGACGAUCAGAUACCGUCGUAGUCUUAACCAUAAACUAUGCCGACUAGGAAUCGGACGAUGUUAAUUUUAUAAUGACUCGUUCGGCACCUUACG
RNAcentral lists this ribosomal RNA (502 nucleotides) under uncultured Glomeromycotina. Its description in RNAcentral is "partial small subunit ribosomal RNA". It matches the Rfam family "Eukaryotic small subunit ribosomal RNA", at positions 591 to 1092 of the family's 1831-position model. The record is from RNAcentral. Lineage: Eukaryota; Fungi; Glomeromycota.